UGUGAGGUUAUCCACUUUGGUGGCAAAAAUAGGAAGGCAGAUUAUUAUCUGAAUGGUGCCGUUAGGAAAAGGGGAAGUACAACAAGAUCUGGGUGGCAUGUUCAUCAGUCACUGAAAGUAAACAGUUGUUUAAGAAGGAACUGCAGAUGCUGGAAAAUCGAAGAUAGACAACGCUUCGGCCCGAAGCCCUUCUUCAGACUGAAGAAGGACUUUCGGGCCGAAACGUUGCCUAUUUGCUUCGCUCCAUAGAUGCCGCCUCGCCCGCUGAGUUUCUCCAGCAUUUUUGUGUUCGUUCGAUUUUCCAGCAUCUGCAGUUCCUUCUUAAAGAUCCUAUUGGCCCGGUCCACUCUCUCUCUCUCCACUGCUCCCAAUGGCUGGCUGCUUCCGGGGGGGGAUCGGCUCCUUGGGAGUGUCCCGGCCGGGACUGCCCGUGUCCGCCUCCCGGCUGCUCAUGGGACCCAGGCUCGUGUCCAGACAUCUUAAAUUGGUUUCGAGGAGUAAUGUUCUCUCCACACCAAUUCACCGGGACCCAGUGGUCACUUCCAGACGUGUAGGGUGGUACCUGGCCACUCGGGGGCAAUCCCAGCUACAUCCCAUCAGAGGAGCAGACGAGACACGCUUGAGACAAGAAGUCAUUUCCACCGUUGGGUGGGACUGCCAGCGGCACAGGUUUCCCCGGGUUUCCCCGGGUUAUCCCACCACUCUCUCUCUCUGUCUCUACUGACCUUGUGUGGCCGACCUGCUGUUCGCGUGCCCUGGCCAUCCCCGCUGAUCACCGAGACGAUUAUUUAUCAUCAUUCUUGUCACCCUAAGCCUCGCUGUAAUCUCCCUCGCCAGAGUAUGUCAAUAUCUUUGUUUCGCCAC
Leucoraja erinaceus (little skate) is the source of this 864-nucleotide long non-coding RNA. RefSeq lists it as uncharacterized. Lineage: Eukaryota; Metazoa; Chordata; Chondrichthyes; Rajiformes; Rajidae. The record is from RefSeq and is a predicted model, not a curated record. The transcript has 2 exons.